GCGAGCACUUGAAAGAGAGAGGCAAUGGCAGAGACAAGAUUGAUUAAGAUCGAAGAAGAUCAGUGGAUGACUCCUCCUGAGGUAUGUAUAUUGGUUCUCAAGUUUUUCAUAUCUACAAUCGCUUUGAUAACCUGCCUCCUGAGGUAUGUACUUUGCUAAUUAGUCUACCAAUCUAUAUAGGGUUCAUAUAUUUACUUAUGUGAUUGUGCUAAACACACAGGUUCCAGCUUUUUCCCGACAAGCACAUCAAUUUUUUUCUCUAAAGGCCUUGGACAUCUCGCUCCAUCCUUCUGCGUCUUGGAUGCCAAGAACUUUUUUACUCUUAUUCUUAUCUCUUAAUUUAUCACAUCAAUGUAUGAAUUGCAGAGUCUGAUAACUGGGUUUUAUGAAUUUGGUUUGCAUCACUCUUUUUUUAUUUAUUUUAAUUUUACAUUGUAUUUUGGUUCAGACAUUAAAGCAC
This 460-nucleotide long non-coding RNA is filed under the name Daucus carota (carrot). RNAcentral's name for it is "long non-coding RNA (DCAR_LNC005098)". The record is from RNAcentral. Lineage: Eukaryota; Viridiplantae; Streptophyta; Magnoliopsida; Apiales; Apiaceae.